GACGAACGCUGGCGGCGUGCUUAACACAUGCAAGUCGAACGGAAAGGCCCUGCUUUUGUGGGGUGCUCGAGUGGCGAACGGGUGAGUAACACGUGAGUAACCUGCCCUUGACUUUGGGAUAACUUCAGGAAACUGGGGCUAAUACCGGAUAGGAGCUCCUGCUGCAUGGGGGGGGUAGGAAAGUUUCGGCGGUUGGGGAUGGACUCGCGGUUUAUCAGCUUGUUGGGGGGGUAGUGGCUUACCAAGGCUUUGACGGGUAGCCGGCCUGGGAGGGUGGCCGGCCACAUUGGGACUGAGAUACGGCCCAGCCUCCUACGGGAGGCAGCAGUGGGGAGUAUUGCACAUUGAGCGGGAGCCUGUUGCAGCAACGCCGCGUGCGGGAUAACGGCCUUCGGGUUGUAAACCGCUUUCGCCUGUGACGAAGCGUGAGUGACGGUAAUGGGUAAAGAAGCACCGGCUAACUACGUG
This 468-nucleotide ribosomal RNA is filed under the name uncultured bacterium. RNAcentral's name for it is "partial 16S ribosomal RNA". It matches the Rfam family "Bacterial small subunit ribosomal RNA", at positions 28 to 507 of the family's 1533-position model. The record is from RNAcentral.